This 432-nucleotide ribosomal RNA is filed under the name uncultured Verrucomicrobiota bacterium. RNAcentral describes it as "bacterial SSU rRNA". It matches the Rfam family "Bacterial small subunit ribosomal RNA", at positions 958 to 1392 of the family's 1533-position model. The record is from RNAcentral. Lineage: Bacteria; Pseudomonadati; Verrucomicrobiota.
AACGCGAAGAACCUUACCAGGCCUUGACAUGCACUAGACCGGCGCUGAAAGGCGCCCUCCCUUCGGGGCUGGUGCACAGGUGCUGCAUGGCUGCCGUCAGCUCGUGUCGUGAGAUGUUGCGUUAAGUCGCGCAACGAGCGCAACCCCUGUCCUUAGUUGCCAUCCCCCAGUUGGGCACUCUAGGGAGACAAACCCUCUUUGAGGGUGGGAAGGUGGGGAUGACGUCAAGUCAGGAUGGCCCUUACGGCCUGGGCUGCACACGUACUACAAUGCCCGGUACAGAGGGACGCAAUACCGCGAGGUGGAGCAAAUCCUCAAAACCGGGCCCAGUUCAGAUUGUAGUCUGCAACUCGACUACAUGAAGUUGGAAUCGCUAGUAAUGGCGCAUCAGCUACGGCGCCGUGAAUACGUUCCCGGGUCUUGUACACACCG